GAUCCGAGGACAAUCUAGUUGUGACAUCAAUCACCAGGAUUGAUUUUGCUGAUCUGGUUGGCUGGUUAGGUGUGUUCUCUUUCUGGCUUACCAUUACAUCCCCAUCCUUCCCCGAGCUGCGCAUUCAGUGGAACAGGACCACCCUUCUUCCAUUACUGAGGAGGACUAGUCUUCAAUCAAGUGUGUAGGAGUAGCUUCAUUUCCUUCCUACAACUUCUAAACAGGCUCUCAAGUUACUUGAUAAAGAUUUGAGUGUCCUAUUAGGGAAAACGUUAAAAUACGUAAUUAAUUU
Molecule: small nuclear RNA, 292 nt
Filed under: Microtus ochrogaster (prairie vole)
Lineage: Eukaryota; Metazoa; Chordata; Mammalia; Rodentia; Cricetidae
Description: 7SK RNA (ENSMOCG00000007934.1)
Rfam family: 7SK RNA
About the family: 7SK was discovered as an abundant small nuclear RNA in the mid-70s but a possible function has only recently been suggested. Two independent studies have found that 7SK RNA binds the CDK9/cyclin T complex (known as elongation factor P-TEFb).
Source: RNAcentral